Molecule: ribosomal RNA, 328 nt
Filed under: Aname mellosa
Lineage: Eukaryota; Metazoa; Arthropoda; Arachnida; Araneae; Anamidae
Description: partial 12S ribosomal RNA
Source: RNAcentral
UCUAAAAGGAAAAAGGUAAUACUUUUUAGGAAACCUACACCCCUUGGCGGCCUUAUUUCUUAUUGAAGGAACUUGUUCUUUAAUCGAAAUUACCCGCUAGUUUUCUCUUUUAUCCAUGUUUUUAUACCGUCGUCUUAAGAAUAUUAUUAAAAAAAUUAUACUCAACUGAAUAAUCAUCAAAGUCAGAUCAAGGUGAAGCUUAUAUAAAAGGCUAGGGUGAGUUAUGCAUAAGUUCUACUAAGGGAUUAUUCUUUAAAAAGCAAUAUGAAUUAAGAUUCGACAGUAUCCUAAUAUCAAAAAUUUUAGGAGAAGAAGUAAAAAAAGGUGU